GAGGAUCAGAUUCUUAACUAGCUUCGGCAUUUACUUGACAUGAACUGUCUAACUGAUUAAUGAUCUGAGUUGAUUUUUCCUUUUACUUUUAAUUUUGGAGAAUUAGAUUUGUUUACAUUGUAAGAUAUAUAUUAUCCUCUCUUGAAAGUAAAGAAUGAUUAUUUCCUCUGUCCAUAGCUGAUCCAGUAGUUGUUCUUAUUUAUAUGCUUAAUUAGUUGUGUGUUUAAUUACUAUUAAAGAUUUGAGCUUUCAUGAAUGUUGAUAAACUCAGUUGGUUUCAAUAACUUGUACACUAGAUGGGUUCUUUUCUCUAAGGUUUUCCUACCAUUUGGAUUUGGUCAGCUUUUAUUCUUGUUAAUUUGUUUUAUCUAGGAUUUAUUUUAUAUGGAUGCCAAUUCAAGUUGUUAA
Molecule: unclassified non-coding RNA, 408 nt
Filed under: Hevea brasiliensis (rubber tree)
Lineage: Eukaryota; Viridiplantae; Streptophyta; Magnoliopsida; Malpighiales; Euphorbiaceae
Source: RNAcentral